GAGGGUAUAGCUCAAGUGGUAGAGCACAUGCUUAGCAUACACAAGGUCCUGGGUUCAAUCCCCAGUAACUCCU
Camelus ferus (Wild Bactrian camel) is the source of this 73-nucleotide transfer RNA. It matches the Rfam family "tRNA". Rfam says of the family: Transfer RNA (tRNA) molecules are approximately 80 nucleotides in length. Their secondary structure includes four short double-helical elements and three loops (D, anti-codon, and T loops). The record is from Rfam. NCBI's taxonomy places the organism in Eukaryota, Metazoa, Chordata, Mammalia, Artiodactyla, Camelidae.